Transfer RNA from Loxodonta africana (African savanna elephant), 72 nucleotides. It matches the Rfam family "tRNA". Rfam says of the family: Transfer RNA (tRNA) molecules are approximately 80 nucleotides in length. Their secondary structure includes four short double-helical elements and three loops (D, anti-codon, and T loops). Further hydrogen bonds mediate the characteristic L-shaped molecular structure. tRNAs have two regions of fundamental functional importance: the anti-codon, which is responsible for specific mRNA codon recognition, and the 3' end, to which the tRNAs corresponding amino acid is attached (by aminoacyl-tRNA synthetases). tRNAs cope with the degeneracy of the genetic code in two manners: having more than one tRNA (with a specific anti-codon) for a particular amino acid; and 'wobble' base-pairing, i.e. permitting non-standard base-pairing at the 3rd anti-codon position. Lineage: Eukaryota; Metazoa; Chordata; Mammalia; Proboscidea; Elephantidae. The record is from Rfam.
GCCCUGGUAGCACAACGGUUAAGUGCUUGGCUACUAACUGAAAGGUUGGUGGUUCAAACCCACCCAGUGGCA